UUUUUUUUUUUUUCUUUUUUUUUUUUUUUCUGUUUUUCUGUUUUUUUUUCACUGUUCUAGGAGUUGCUUUAAGCUGAACACUGCAGGAUUUAUAACCAGAUAUUUGCUGCCUUUUCCUUUGUUUUAUUUCUUUAAGUCUUUCCUAACCUUUGAGGGUAACUUUUGGAGCAUUCUGAUUGUGGAUCUUGGCCUGCUGUUGGAAGCCUCCAGGCCUCUUGUAUUUCCAGUUUGAGUUGAAAAGUUUUUGUUUUGUUUGUUUGCUUAAACUGAUGACACAAACUAGAUGCGCGGACUUUGGGUGAGAUUUGCUGUUGCUCUACUUUGUGUGACUUAUUCUCCUUUUUUUACAGAAAUGUGUUCUAACAGUUCACACUUUGUUACUGUUCUUUGCAAAACUUUUCAGGAGCCAAAAAAAGUCAAACAAUCCAGAGAAAACCUUCCCUUCUCCCCUUUCUGAUGGCGAGAGUGAGAACUUAUGAAAAGUCCUUGAGAAUGUUCCUUCCUAAACUUUUCCCCUCAGUAAUGCAAGCGGGUAAAAUGGUAAAUGCAGCAGUUUGGUGACAUCCAAACCCGACCUGUUGUCAGACAUACCCACUUCUUGCGUCUCAGCACUGGGCAGGCCUAUUCCUUUAUUUGUGUAUAUUUUUGUGAAUCAGCUGCUAUAGGACACGGGUGUAACACUUUCAGGCAUAGUAAUAAAACUGGUAGGUGGCAGCAGCAGUAGAAGAAACUCAUGUGACUGACCUGGGAAACCUCCGGUACUGUGAAAAAUGGAUUGCAAAAUCUUAACUGAAGUAAGGGGGACGGAGGAGAGAGGCAGAGUCCCUGAACUGUCCCUUUGAAUGAUGUCCUGUUUAUGGUGGAAGCAGUGAUACUACUGACCUCCCUUGAUGCUUAGUUUAUCUGUGUCAUAAAAUGCUUUAAUUUUGGGAAGAAAGGAACUGGAGAGGUAUGGAGGUAUGGAGGAAAACAGUGCUACAUGGACUAAUCAGGAAGGUGCUGUGAAGCAAAGAGAGAAGACAAAGCAGUAGCUGUGUAUGCAGGAAUGUAAUGCUUGUGAAAGAUGCUGGACCAACAAUUGCAGAGAUUGAACUCCUCUACCCACAGGAAAGGUUUUUCUACACCACAGGAGGUCUUCUCUUGUACAGGGACACUUAUCUCUUGAUACCACCUCCUUCACAAUGAAGAAAGGAUGGACCAGCAGCAAUGUGGAAUGGGGUGAUGUCCACACUUGGGGUUAACAGUCAUAAUAAACACUGUGCUGCUAACAUGGAGAAAUGAAUAAAACAAUUUAAUUC
This 1298-nucleotide long non-coding RNA is filed under the name Strigops habroptila (Kakapo). Its description in RNAcentral is "lncRNA (ENSSHBG00005018935.1)". The record is from RNAcentral. Lineage: Eukaryota; Metazoa; Chordata; Aves; Psittaciformes; Psittacidae.